Long non-coding RNA from Balaenoptera musculus (blue whale), 472 nucleotides. RefSeq lists it as uncharacterized. The transcript is spliced from 3 exons. NCBI's taxonomy places the organism in Eukaryota, Metazoa, Chordata, Mammalia, Artiodactyla, Balaenopteridae. The record is from RefSeq and is a predicted model, not a curated record.
GUUUCUGGAGAGUGUCGCUAAGCCACCCUCCAUUCCUGCAUUCAGUUAACAAGCGCUGAUGACAUCUCUGUUGAACAUCAGGCAAGGACUGGCUUUUUACCGUAUGAUCCCCACUUUCACAGGAUUAAAUCUUCCAGGGGAGAGAGACAAUCAAACCAGCAAGUACUAUAAAGUGUAAUCAUAAGAAAGGAAAGUUGAAGGGUUUAUGUGACCCUGAGGAAGGGCAUCCAAUUCAGAAGGAGGGGCCAGGGGUCGAUGAAGUCUUCUCUGAGGAAAGACCUGAGACCUGAAGGAAGAAUAAGAAUUACUCAGAGUGAAUGGCCUAAGGAAGGAGAGAGAAAGGAAAACCUCGAACCACGAAGGCAUGAGAAUUAUGGUGACACAGAAUGAGGCCAUCUGGUGCUGGUAUAGGAAGAUGGACAAAGAGAUCUGAGAUGAGGAAAAACACAGAUCAAAAAAGAAACCCAAGGUA